This 200-nucleotide ribosomal RNA is filed under the name uncultured bacterium. RNAcentral's name for it is "partial 16S ribosomal RNA". It matches the Rfam family "Bacterial small subunit ribosomal RNA", at positions 524 to 723 of the family's 1533-position model. The record is from RNAcentral.
UACGGAGGAUGCAAGCGUUAUCCGGAAUCACUGGGUUUAAAGGGUGCGUAGGUGGGUAAAUAAGUCAGAGGUGAAAUCUGGUCGCUUAACGAUCAAACUGCCUUUGAAACUGUUUAUCUUGAAAUACAAUGAGGUCAGCAGAAUGUGACAUGUAGCGGUGAAAUGCAUAGAUAUGUCAUAGAAUACCAAUUGCGAAGGCA